AUGCCCGACUCCACCACAUAAAGUUCUGACAUAAUACAAAAUAUUUGCAGAAACAACAGUAUAACACACCUGUAAAGGGCAAUAGAACAAAGGAGGAGUGUUAUAACCUUGAACUGUUCUUUAGUCCUUGACCACCUUGGGAACUUCCAGUCAUCACCUUGCUUUGAGAGCCUUUGGCUUAAACUAUACUGGACUUCCUACUUUCAUCUCCAAGGUCCUUCUCUGAACUGGUGGUUGAAGUGAGAAUAAACAGGAGGGGGCCCAUGUGAGAAAUAUUUAGGAGGUAAAAGGAAUGUGUUAGGAGACGGUCAGGAGACAGUGUGGUGAGAGGAAGUGAUUGAAGAUGAUGCCCAAGAUGGUGGACGGACUGAGGACAUCAAUGAUGGAGACAUCUCCUGAGACAAGGAAAAUAAGAGGAAGAUCCUGCUUGUUGUUUAACACCAGGAAAGAAUCACAGAUGCCUGCACUCACUAACCAAGGCAUCCUCCAGAGGUGUGAAUGGAAGACAUUAGCACAGAACCUGGAGAGUUCUGCCUAAGAGAAAGAGAACUGAGUCAGCAGCAAGCGAGAUUAUUUGCCAGAAGAACUCUAAUAGAUUUAAAGCCCUGUAGUGGGUUACUGAAGAAAUCCAAUAUUCUGCUUCAGUAUGAUAGUAACUAAGUAUUGCUAGGUUGCGUGACAGCAAUGGUAAUGACAGAUAUAAUGAGAGGG
This 711-nucleotide long non-coding RNA is filed under the name Homo sapiens (human). RNAcentral's name for it is "HSALNT0106789". Lineage: Eukaryota; Metazoa; Chordata; Mammalia; Primates; Hominidae. The record is from RNAcentral.